GACGAACGCUGGCGGCGUGCCUAAUACAUGCAAGUAGAACGCUGAAGGAGGAGCUUGCUUCUCUGGAUGAGUUGCGAACGGGUGAGUAACGCGUAGGUAACCUGCCUGGUAGCGGGGGAUAACUAUUGGAAACGAUAGCUAAUACCGCAUAAUAGUAGAUGUUGCAUGACAUUUGCUUAAAAGGUGCAAUUGCAUCACUACCAGAUGGACCUGCGUUGUAUUAGCUAGUUGGUGGGGUAACGGCUCACCAAGGCGACGAUACAUAGCCGACCUGAGAGGGUGAUCGGCCACACUGGGACUGAGACACGGCCCAGACUCCUACGGGAGGCAGCAGUAGGGAAUCUUCGGCAAUGGACGGAAGUCUGACCGAGCAACGCCGCGUGAGUGAAGAAGGUUUUCGGAUCGUAAAGCUCUGUUGUAAGAGAAGAACGAGUGUGAGAGUGGAAAGUUCACACUGUGACGGUAGCUUACCAGAAAGGGACGGCUAACUACGUG
RNAcentral lists this ribosomal RNA (495 nucleotides) under uncultured bacterium. RNAcentral's name for it is "partial 16S ribosomal RNA". It matches the Rfam family "Bacterial small subunit ribosomal RNA", at positions 28 to 507 of the family's 1533-position model. The record is from RNAcentral.